Gorilla gorilla gorilla (western lowland gorilla) is the source of this 58-nucleotide microRNA precursor. The record is from Ensembl. NCBI's taxonomy places the organism in Eukaryota, Metazoa, Chordata, Mammalia, Primates, Hominidae.
AAAAGUAAUUGCGGGUUUUGCCGUUGCUUUUAAUGGUAAAACCCACAAUUAUGUUUGU